Molecule: small nuclear RNA, 325 nt
Filed under: Mustela putorius furo (domestic ferret)
Lineage: Eukaryota; Metazoa; Chordata; Mammalia; Carnivora; Mustelidae
Description: 7SK RNA (ENSMPUG00000023661.1)
Rfam family: 7SK RNA
About the family: 7SK was discovered as an abundant small nuclear RNA in the mid-70s but a possible function has only recently been suggested.
Source: Rfam by way of RNAcentral
GGAUGUAAGGGUGAUCUAGCUGUGACAUGUCACCCCAUUGAUCACCAGGGUUGAUUUGGCUGAUGUAGCUUGCUAGGCGGGUGCCCAUUCCUCCUUCACUGCUCCAUGUGGGUCCCUCCCAAAGUUGCAUGCUCUGGCCAAGAGGAUGACCUUCCUGGAUAGAGGAAGACCAUUCUUUGGUCAAGGGCAUAUGAGUAGCUUCACUCCCCUGCUAGAACCUAAGUGUCCUCUCAAGGUCCACUUCUGGUGAUUGUAGGGUAGUCAAGUUUCCAAGACUUCAGACAUAUCCAAAUGAGGCACUGCAUGUGGUAGUCUGCCAUUCUUU